UACGUAGGGGGCAAGCGUUGUCCGGAAUCAUUGGGCGUAAAGCGCGUGUAGGCGGCUUGGUAAGUCCGCUCUGAAAGCCCGGGGCUCAACCCCGGGAGGCGGGUGGAUACUGUCAAGCUCGAGUCCGGAAGAGGCGAGUGGAAUUCCUGGUGUAGCGGUGAAAUGCGUAGAUAUCAGGAGGAACACCGGCGGUGUAGACGGCUUGCUAGACCAUAACUGACGCUGAGGCACGAAAGCGUGGGUAGCAAACAGG
RNAcentral lists this ribosomal RNA (253 nucleotides) under uncultured bacterium. RNAcentral describes it as "partial 16S ribosomal RNA". It matches the Rfam family "Bacterial small subunit ribosomal RNA", at positions 524 to 776 of the family's 1533-position model. The record is from RNAcentral.